GAUGAACGCUGGCGGCGUGCCUAAUACAUGCAAGUCGAGCGAACAGAUGAGGAGCUUGCUCCUCUGACGUUAGCCGCGGACGGGUGAGUAACACGUGGAUAUCCUACCUAUCAGACUGGGAUCACUUCGGGAAACCGGAGCUAAUACCGGAUAAUAUAUUGAACCGCAUGGUUCAAUAGUGAAAGACGGUUUUGCUGUCACUUAUAGAUGGAUCCGCGCCGCAUUAGCUAGUUGGUAAGGUAACGGCUUACCAAGGCAACGAUGCGUAGCCGACCUGAGAGGGUGAUCGCCCACACUGGAACUGGGACGCGGUCCAGACUCCUACGGGAGGCAGCAGUAGGGAAUCUGCCGCAAAAGGCGAAAGCCUGACGGAGCAACGCCGCGUGAGUGAUGAAGGUCUUCGGAGCGGAAAGCUCUGUUAUUGGGGAAAAACAAAUGUGUAAGUAACUAUGCACGUCUUGACGGUACCUAAUCAGAAAGCCACGGCUAACUACGUG
RNAcentral lists this ribosomal RNA (497 nucleotides) under uncultured bacterium. Its description in RNAcentral is "partial 16S ribosomal RNA". It matches the Rfam family "Bacterial small subunit ribosomal RNA", at positions 28 to 507 of the family's 1533-position model. The record is from RNAcentral.